Brassica napus (rape) is the source of this 1633-nucleotide long non-coding RNA. RefSeq lists it as uncharacterized. The transcript is spliced from 4 exons. Lineage: Eukaryota; Viridiplantae; Streptophyta; Magnoliopsida; Brassicales; Brassicaceae. The record is from RefSeq and is a predicted model, not a curated record.
AUUACCUAAUGGCAGCUGAUAAGUUGGAGAGGUAGUCUCUGUGGAAGCUAAUCCUCUUGUCAUCUUGUAAUGCUUUCUCCAUGUCUUUGAAUGGGUUGUUCUUCUCAUCCAUACCGUUUUCUGUGAUGAAGACAGGAGGGUUUCCGUAGACGUCUUUGAGAUACACUGCUAGUUUCCUGAUUCCCCAUGGGACUAUGUGUAGCCAGCUUGAUCCUGCCUAAUGUCAUUGUCAAGUACUCCUCCUCGAAAUGCUACAACAAUUAGUGAGCAAACAAGAACAUCAGUAGUGAAGAUAUGAUCUGAGAGAUAGUGUGUGUGUGUGUAUGGAUCUUACAGCUUGUGAUCACUGCUGCAUCAGAAGAAGCAUCUUGUAGAAUCAGUUUCCUUAUCCUUGUUCUGUCGUUCCUUGUGUACAGUGUCGUGUAGUGGUUGAUUCCAAAGAAGUCAAAUGCCCCUUUUAUGGUUUUAGACAUCUCUGCUGUUAUCUCUGGUAGUCUCUCUUCCACUAGUCUCUUCAUUGAAGCUGGAUAGUCUCCAUUUAUUAGAGGAUCCAUAAACCUAUUUUCACAUCUCAUUCAGUUUCUUCUUUUACUUACUUUCUCUAAUGCAAAAUUUUCAUAUACAAAAGUGUAUCUUUAUUAUUUUACCAUCCGAUCCCAAAAUCCAUUGCCCUACGAGCUGCAUCUCUGUCCUCAUCACAAUCAGACAUUGGCUCAAACCAUUUUGCAUCUAACGACAUCCCUAUUCGACCACCUUGUUUCUUCUGCAUUUUUACAUUUCCCCACAUUAUAUUCUGUGGACCUAAGAUGUUCAUUUUUUCUGUUAUCUGUGUUCUUUACCUUGAAGUGUCUCUGGUAUGUGUGGUAAGCAGCGGCGUGAGACAAGAGAAUGUUAUGAGCUACAACAUAAGGCUCCACAGAUGACUUCCCUUCCUUACAGAACCAAUGUCCCAGAAGCGAGCACCUCCCUGGAGCCUGUAUCCCUGUGUCAUAGCCUUGGAUCGUUAGCCCGCGUGGCUCAUUGAAAGUGAUCCAGUACUUCACUCUGUCUCCGAAUGCUUUGAAACAGGAUUUAGCAUUUUACUUACACGACUUGUCUGCUCAGCCAUCCUUCAUAUCUGUCUUCUAAAGCUUGUGGGAGAUCCCAGUGAUACAAUGUCACAUAAGUUUGUAGAAGAAGGAGAAGAAUGUCACCUGGUAAGCUGAAGAAGCUGUCCCGAACACAAACCCAUCUGGAAAACUCUCUCUGGUAAUAGAUUCCGAUGAAACUUGCUGACGAGACGCGAUGAAGAACAGAUACAUAACCAGGACGAGUCUCAUGAUAUAUUCCAUUCGUUGGCUGGCAUGAAUAAAGGAAAGCGAGACAGAGAAAAGAUAUAGGAGUGAAAUUGUUUGGGAAAGGAAAGAUUUGGAGGCAAGAAAGUGUGAGUUAUUAUGUGCAAAGCAAAAGGGCUCCUCUCUUAUGUGAAGGCUCUUCUUUGGUGUUGACAUUUGUGUUUCUCUCUUCUUAUAUUAUUGUGUACACGUUGCUUUUACUUCUUCUGCCAAAGACUAAAAGUGUACUCUAAGAUGAAUAUAAGUUUGUUAGUGAGACAUUGAUUCACUUAAAUAAAUACCUUUGCUUUUUUGCAUUA